This 197-nucleotide ribosomal RNA is filed under the name uncultured bacterium. RNAcentral's name for it is "partial 16S ribosomal RNA". It matches the Rfam family "Bacterial small subunit ribosomal RNA", at positions 328 to 539 of the family's 1533-position model. The record is from RNAcentral.
ACGCUCGACACCUACGGGGGCAGCAGUGGGGAAUAUUGCACAAUGGGGGAAACCCUGAUGCAGCGACGCCGCGUGAAGGAUGAAGUAUUUCGGUAUGUAAACUUCUAUCAGCAGGGAAGAAAAUGACGGUACCUGACUAAGAAGCCCCGGCUAACUACGUGUCAGCAGCCGCGGUAAUCUGAGCGGGCUGGCAAGGC